Tetranychus urticae (two-spotted spider mite) is the source of this 2147-nucleotide long non-coding RNA. RefSeq lists it as uncharacterized. The record is from RefSeq and is a predicted model, not a curated record. NCBI's taxonomy places the organism in Eukaryota, Metazoa, Arthropoda, Arachnida, Trombidiformes, Tetranychidae.
UCACAUGUUUCCCUCACUUACUUUUUGACUUUGCUUUUAACGGUUUUUUGUCUUUGUUUUACUGCCAUCAACUUUACAGUUAAUUAUUUUAAUUAGUUUCAAUCUGUUAAUUUAAUCAAAUUUACUUUUAAUUUAAUUGUGUUUACGUUAAUGACAUUGGUCAUUAGUUGGCUGGUUUGUAUUGAAAUGGAGGAUUGAACUAGUUGCUUGCUGAUUUUUUUCUUCAUUUGGUUAACAUGGUGGAAAUUUUGAUGGAGCAAGUUGAUUACAAUUGGCCAUUAAGCAGAUUUGGUAAUCUUCAGACAAGGGAUGGAAAGAGAAGAAAAAAGGAACAGAGGAGGAAAAAUUGAUUCUUCAGUUUUUCAUCUACUUGACGCUUUUUCUUACCUUAACAUUGUUGGUUAUUCCUGAAUGACAGAUAAUUGGUUGACUUUUGCUUUUUUCCUUCUCGUUGUCGUCGUCAUCAUCCCAACUCACUAUAAAUCACUUAAGUUAACCUUAAAGUGAUGAAUGCCUCAGGGAGUCAAUAAAGUCUUGCUGCUGGUGAAUGGGAAAAAAAGUUGAACUCUGUUCUUUGCGUUCAUCCCUACGAGAAACCAAUGAAACUAUUUACUCCUUUGAUGGUGAACAAUAAUUGAAAACCAAAUGUUAUUACAAUUUAACUGCUUCCUUCGCCAGUCAAUGAUCAUUUUUCACAACUUUACCAAGUCAAGUCAACUCUCAACCGUUUACAUUUGAACAAUUAUUUGGCCAUUAUUCACGAUUUAAUAUAAAACAAGAUUGAAUCCUGUUCUUUUUCUCUACAAUUUACGUGUUGCCUUUUCCAUUGUCACCACUAACAUUAUUAUUGUUAUUCAAAAGGCAUUUACCUAUUUAAUGGUGGCUAAAGGUGGUGAAAACAAAAUGCAACUGUUAAGGUGAAAUUAAUGGCUUAACAAGUAGUUAAUUGUAAACGAAAAGCUGUUUAACAUGGAAAAGAAGGAGUAUGGGAAAAACAUAAUUGAGUAAAAGUGAUAAUUCGCUGAUGAUUUCAUUCAAUUUAUGAUGAAAAUUUCCACCAGAAAAAAAGCUAAUCUUCAAAUGAUUCCAUCAUCAUCCUUUUCAUAAUACUCAUCAUCGCUAUCAUCAUAAUCAUCUUUAUCAUCGUCAUCUCUAUUAACUUCGUUGCUGUUUGUUGUAAAAGGGAAUUACAAUGAUUCAAUUACUUUUUUGGCAAAUUGUUGAAACGUUAAACUCAUUCCAGCUUUUUGGCUAAACCCAAGUGUAGCCAGUUAAUCAAUGGGAUACAACUCAACCUCUAAAUGGCCAGCAAAGGUCUUGAAUCAUCUCUUCGUAAAUUAUCAUGAUGAGCUGAUUCAACUUGCCUGUAUAAAGUACUGAAAAUUGAAUAAUUUUACUUAAGGAGACAAAUUCUCGAGCUUGAAAUUUUCUCAAAGAUUCAUCGUUUAUAAGCUGAGCGUUCAGGACAGAAAUACCAAUUUCCAAAAGCCUAUUUCUUGACGCCAAAAGCCUAUUGCCAAUUGGAGGAAAAAAUGUGUUUAUGUUAAUCCAAAUCAUGAAUUCCACGGAGCAGAUGCUCGUUUCAAUUUUAACCACGAAUCAGAAAGUUUAUGUCACUCGAAACUCGAAAAAUUUUCUCCAUCGAAUGGCGUCAUUAGCUAAAUAGUCGUUGAUUCGUUAAACAAAUUGAAUGAUUCUUGCAUGUUUGCUUUUCAAUAAUCAAUGCUAAACCAACUUCAAAUAUUAGCAAUUAGAUUUCAAGCUCAAUUUCCUAGUGCUGUGCAUCAGACUGUGCUAAUUGCUGUUUCGUGAUCUACCAUCAUCGCUUCGUUGACAAAAAUUGCUUGAAACUACUUGAAUCUUUUCAUGACUUGCAGAGUUGGUUAUUUACUUUUUCGCGAAAUUGAUCAAAUACAUAAUCAAAGUGUUGAUGAUUCCAGUUAUACUUGUUCUAUUGAUUAUGAGCAGUCAUCCAACAUGAAACUAUCUUCAAAGUGCAACAUUUAACCUUUGAUCAUUUGCUCCAAAACUUUAAGAUGACUCUAAUAGUGAACUCUGUUGAAGAGCCAUGAUAUUGAAAUAAGAUUACAGACAGGAAUGAAUCUGAUUGAGCAAAAUGUUAAUAAAGUUAAUGAGCACCAAGAGAA